AACGCGAAGAACCUUACCUACCCUUGACAUGCUCGGAAUCUGCCAGAGAUGGUGGAGUGCCUUCGGGAGCCGAGACACAGGUGCUGCAUGGCUGUCGUCAGCUCGUGUCGUGAGAUGUUGGGUUAAGUCCCGUAACGAGCGCAACCCUUAUUCUUAGUUGCCAACAGGUAAUGCUGGGAACUCUAAGGAGACUGCCGGUGAUAAGCCGGAGGAAGGUGGGGACGACGUCAAGUCAUCAUGGCCCUUACGGGUAGGGCUACACACGUGUUACAAUGGACGGUACAGAGGGAAGCGAAGCCGCGAGGUGAAGCGAAUCUCAGGAAAGCCGUUCGUAGUCCGGAUUGGAGUCUGCAACUCGACUCCAUGAAGUUGGAAUCGCUAGUAAUCGCGGAUCAGAACGCCGCGGUGAAUACGUUCCCGGGCCUGUACACACGCUAGUC
RNAcentral lists this ribosomal RNA (440 nucleotides) under uncultured bacterium. RNAcentral's name for it is "bacterial SSU rRNA". It matches the Rfam family "Bacterial small subunit ribosomal RNA", at positions 958 to 1398 of the family's 1533-position model. The record is from RNAcentral.